RNAcentral lists this ribosomal RNA (465 nucleotides) under uncultured bacterium. Its description in RNAcentral is "partial 16S ribosomal RNA". It matches the Rfam family "Bacterial small subunit ribosomal RNA", at positions 28 to 507 of the family's 1533-position model. The record is from RNAcentral.
GACGAACGCUGGCGGCGUGCUUAACACAUGCAAGUCGAACGGAAAGGCCCUGCUUUCAUGGUGUUCUAGUGGCGCACGCGUGAGUAUCACAUGUGUGUUCUGCGCUGCUCUUCUUGAUAUAACUUCAAGACUCUGUCUCUUACCCCGUAUAAGACCUCCUUCUUCUUGUGGGUGGUAAGUUUUUUUGGUCUGGUAUGAGCUCGCGGCCUAUCUGCUUGCUGGUGGGGUAAUGGGCUACCAAGGCGGCGACGGGUAGCCGGCCUGGGAGGGUGGACGGCCACAAUGGGAAUGAGGUAAGGCCCAGACUCCUACGGGGGGGAGGAGGGGGGAAUAUUGGAAAAUGGGCGCGAGCCUGAUGGAGCGACGCCGGGGGGGGGAAGACGGGCUUCGGGUUGGAAACUCGUUUCGCUAGGGACGGAGGUGUUUGUGACGGUAACUAGAUAAGAAGCACCGGCUAACUACGUG